CCUACGGGAGGCAGCAGUGAGGAAUAUUGGUCAAUGGACGAGAGUCUGAACCAGCCAAGUAGCGUGAAGGAUGACUGCCCUAUGGGUUGUAAACUUCUUUUAUAUGGGAAUAAAAUGUUCCACGUGUGGGAUUUUGUAUGUACCAUAUGAAUAAGGAUCGGCUAACUCCGUGCCAGCAGCCGCGGUAAUACGGAGGAUCCGAGCGUUAUCCGGAUUUAUUGGGGUUAAAGGGAGCGUAGGUGGAUUGUUAAGUCAGUUGUGAAAGUUUGCGGCUCAACCGUAAAAUUGCAGUUGAAACUGGCAGUCUUGAGUACAGUAGAGGUGGGCGGAAUUCGUGGUGUAGCGGUGAAAUGCUUAGAUAUCACGAAGAACUCCGAGUGCGAAGGCAGUUCACUGGACUGCAACUGACACUGAGGCUCGAAAGUGUGGGUAUCAAACAGGAUGAGAUACCCGAGUAGUC
This 460-nucleotide ribosomal RNA is filed under the name uncultured bacterium. RNAcentral describes it as "partial 16S ribosomal RNA". It matches the Rfam family "Bacterial small subunit ribosomal RNA", at positions 338 to 795 of the family's 1533-position model. The record is from RNAcentral.